GAAACAUGUCACGGAUGAGUCUAAGCAACCUGUUUCAGCCUGUUCUCCCUCCUAGCUGCAAUAAUAAUGUCAACAGCCCCCAGGAAGGUGCUUACUUGUGACUGACUGCCUGUUCCAGACUGGAUUUCACGCUUCUCUUACACUUGGUGGCCUUGGUGAGACUCACCAACACAGCACAGGGACACACCUGAGCCACUCUGAUGCUGGAGUGCAUGUUUGCUGGCUUCCUCC
Molecule: long non-coding RNA, 231 nt
Filed under: Gallus gallus (chicken)
Lineage: Eukaryota; Metazoa; Chordata; Aves; Galliformes; Phasianidae
Source: RNAcentral